Molecule: long non-coding RNA, 18824 nt
Filed under: Gossypium barbadense (sea-island cotton)
Lineage: Eukaryota; Viridiplantae; Streptophyta; Magnoliopsida; Malvales; Malvaceae
Description: long non-coding RNA (GBAR_LNC003746)
Source: RNAcentral
UAUAGUACCGGCUUUCAAGGACAAGUUGAGUUCGUAUGAGGAGCAGAUAAGAAAAUUUAGAAUUGCCAAUAGGCCAAUGAAGCUUGUCUCAGCUUUGCAGCAAGGACAGCUUCUUCCAACUCAUAUGCAUUCCAUGCAGCAGCCUCAACCUGAAAGUAAUCAAACACAAUCUCACAAUAAUGAAAUGAACCCUCAGUUUCCGUCAAUGAUGAGACCAGCUCAGAUGCCGGAAUUGAAGAAGCAAAUGCCGAGGCUACAGCAGCUGCAGCUUCUUCAAAUGCUGCAACAGCGAGGUUUGCACUGGGUUGAUGAGCAGCAGUCACCUGCAAAGAUUAAAACAAAUGAAUUAUCAUAUUGGCAUGAAAUAGAUAUUGAUUCUGGAGUUCAAGGAAACCUCCCUAGUAACCAACUUCCAGGUUAUGAGGAAGCAAGAUCUGAAUACCACGCACCCGACACUGCUGGGAUUGGUGUGCCGCCAACUAUGUCAAUACCACCUUUGCUUCCAGGGUUUAAAGAAGUUAAUGAUACUAGUGGUAAUGCUUUGACAACUGAUUUUGGCAAGCCGGACAUCACAGAACAGCCACAUGAUCUCAAGGUGAACAUGGUAAGUAAUGUUAACAUUAAUGGGAGACAACAUUAAUGGCAAACAAUACAAAGUGGUGCAAGUUUAGCACCCUAAAGUUGACUUUGAAAAAGUGGUAUGGGAUAAUUUUUUUUUUGGUCCUUGAGAUAAUGGGCUAUUUAUUGUUUGGUCCUUAAACCUCAACUAUAAAUAGGCCUUCUCAUUUCUCAUUUCAAUUCAUCCCAACCAAUCUCUCUCUCUUAGUUUUCUCUCUUCUCCCAUUUGAGAAUUCUUAAGGAAUUCUAUUUGUUUGUAAUACUUUGGAGAUAGUAAAGUUAUCAUCUGGUGUUAGUGCCCGAGGACGUAGGUAUAAUUUACCGAACCUCGUUAAAUCUCUUGUGUUCUUUCUUGUCCUAUUUUUCUUUCAAUAUUUGAGGGUAUAAUAGUAGUAUUUAAUUGUGCUAUUAAAUUACUAUAGAAGGGAUAUUCUGUCUAAGGAAAGACUUGGUAUUUAAGAGAUCCAUGUGAUCCACCUCUCUUCCCUGGGAAUUGAACUUUGUGUGAUUUUUUAGUACAAUAAUUUACACGCUUCCGACCCUAUUGGAACAACAAGUGGUAUCAAGAGCCGAAGGUUAAUCGUAGUAUGCUCUGUGGUUGCAGUUUGAACUGAUCUUCCACAUCAGAAAAGAUUUCCUUAGGUAUAUUGAAAGAUUAUGGAGAAAACGGUCGGUGUAGGAGCUUCAACAUCGUCCAUGUGGACAAGACCGACAAUUGCAAAUGCAAGAUUGGUCGUGGAAAUCUUUGAUGGCACGAGCCAUUUUGGUAUGUGGCAAAGUGAGGUUCUAGAUGCCCUUUUUCAGCAGGGUCUAGACAUUGCCAUUGAUGAAGAGAAACCAGAUGAUGUACAGGAGAAAGAUUGGAAGGCGAUCAAUUGGUUGGCAUGUGGCACAAUUCGAUCAUGCCUUUCUCGAGAGCAGAGGUAUGCUUUUUCAAAGGAGACUUCUGCAAAUAAGUUGUGGGUGGCACUUGAAGAAAAUUUUUUGAAGAAAAACAGUCAAAAUAAGCUCCACUUGAAGAAAAGACUGUUUCGCUUCACAUACGUCCCAAGUACCACAAUGAAUGAUCACAUCACCAAAUUUAAUCAGUUAGUCACUGAUUUGCUGAAUAUGGAUGAGACAUUCAAAGAUGAAGAUUUGGCUUUGAUGCUGUUGGGGUCACUUCCUGAGGAGUUUGAGUUCCUAGAAACUACUCUACUUCAUGGCAGGAGUGAUAUAUCUCUGAGCGAAGUCUGUGCGGCCUUAUACAGUUAUGAACAGAGAAAGAAGGACAAACAGAAAAACUCAAUCAGAGAUACAGAAGCUUUAGUAGUCCGAGGUCGUUCAUACACUCGGAAGAAAACUCAAAAGGGGAGAUCAAAGUCAAAGUCCAGACUCGGGAAAGAUGAAUGUGCUUUUUGUCAUGAGAAAGGCCACUGGAAGAAAAAUUGUCCAAAGCUGAAGAAUAAGGGAAAAGCUGCUGUAGAUGCUUGUGUUGCUAAGCAUGAUACUAGUGACUCUGAACUAUCACUGGUUGCAUCAUCAUCGUCGUUCCAUUCAGAUGAGUGGAUAUUGGAUUCGGGUUGUACCUAUCAUAUGUCCCCUAACCGGGAGUGGUUCUCUGAUUUAGUAGAACUAAAUGGAGGAGUUGUUUAUAUGGGCAAUGAUAAUGCCUGUAAAACUGUUGGGAUAUGUUCAAUCCAAUUAAAGAAUAAAGAUGGAUCAACCAGAGUUCUGACUGAUGUUCGGUACGUGCCCAGUUUGAAGAAAAAUCUCAUCUCAUUGAGAGCCUUGGAAUCCAAUGGUUCAGUUGUUACUAUGAGAGAUGGGGUUUUGAAAGUGACAUCUGGCGCACUUGUGAUAUUGAAGGGCAUCAGGAAAAAUAACUUGUAUUACUACCAAGGUAGUACAGUUAUUGGAGCAGUCGCUGCAGCUUCCGGUAACAAAGACUUGGACUCAAUGCAGUUGUGGCAUAUGAAGUUGGGACAUGCCAGCGAAAAAUCCUUGCAAAUUCUGGCAAAGCAAGGAUUGUUGAAAGGUGCAAAGGCUUGCAAAUUAAAAUUUUGUGAGCACUGUGUUCUGGGAAAGCAAAAGAGAGUGAAAUUCGGCACUGCUAUCCAUAAUACAAAAGGUAUUUUGGAAUAUAUUCACUCAGAUGUGUGGGGGCCUUCCAAAACACCUUCGUUGGGAGGAAAACACUACUUUGUUACUUUUGUUGAUGACUUUUCCAGAAGAGUUUGGGUGUAUACCAUGAAAACUAAAGAUGAAGUGCUUGGAGUUUUUCUUAAAUGGAAAACUAUGAUCGAAAACCAGACUGGCAAGAAAAUCAAGCGGCUUAGGACGGACAAUGGAGGGGAAUAUAAAAGUGAUCCGUUCUUCGAUGUGUGCCAAGAGUAUGGUAUUGUUCGACACUUCACAGUUAGGGAUACACCACAACAGAAUGGAGUGGCAGAGCGUAUGAAUCGAACAUUGCUAGAGAAAGUUCGAUGUAUGUUGUCCAAUGCUGGGUUGGGCAAGCAAUUUUGGGCUGAGGCUGUGACAUACGCUGGCCAUCUUGUUAAUCGUUUGCCAUCAUCUGCAUUAGAAAGAAAAACUCCUAUGGAGGUAUGGUCUGGAAAACCAGCUACAGAUUAUGAUUCCUUACAUGUGUUUGGAACCACUGCAUAUUACCAUGUGAAGGAGUUAAAGUUAGAUCCGAGGGCAAAGAAAGCUCUCUUUAUGGGAAUCACUUCUGGAGUGAAGGGAUUUCAUCUUUGGUGCUUAAGCACAAAGAAAAUGAUCUGUAGCAAAGAUGUUACCUUUGAUGAAUCUGCCACAUUGAAAAAGGUAGCAGAUAAAGAUAUUCAGACGAGCAAUACUCCACAGCAGGUGGAGUGUACUCCAAAACAGGUGGAGUUUGAGCAGAUGGGGAUUUGCCCAGUUAAUAAGUCUAAUUCUCCAGCCACAAUGGAGGAAUUAGAGGUUGAAGAGGUUCUGACCCAAGAACCACUAAGUACACCAGAACCAGUUGCAGUUGCAAGGCCACGGAGAGAAAUUCGUAAACCUGCUCGAUUUACUGAUAUGGUGGCCUACGCCCUUCCCGUUGUUGAUGAUAUUCCUAUCACUUAUCAAGAAGCAAUGCAAAGCUUAGAAAGUGAUAAAUGGAAAAGCGCCAUGGAUGAAGAAAUGCAGUCUCUCCGGAAGAAUAAUACUUGGGAGUUGGCGCAAUUACCGAAAGGUAAAAGGGCAAUCGGAUGCAAGUGGGUAUUCGCAAAGAAAGAUGGAUCUCCUAGCAAGAAGGAUAUUCGCUACAAGGCAAGAUUGGUAGCUAAAGGCUACGCUCAGAAGGAGGGAAUUGACUACAAUGAUGUAUUUUCCCCUGUUGUGAAGCAUUCCUCCAUUAGAAUUUUGUUGGCCUUGGUAGCACAGUUGAAUUUGGAGCUAGCUCAACUUGAUGUUAAGACAGUUUUCUUGCAUGGUGAGUUAGAAGAGGAGAUCUAUAUGACUCAGCCCGAAGGAUACACAGAUGCUGGUGGUAGAAAUUGGGUUUGUAAGCUGAACAAAUCGCUAUAUGGAUUGAAGCAAUCCCCGAGGCAGUGGUACAAGCGAUUUGAUAGCUUUAUGAGAAGGCAGAAGUACACAAGAAGCAAAUAUGACAAUUGUGUAUAUUUGCAGAAGCUGCAUGACGGAUCUUUCAUUUAUCUACUCUUGUAUGUUGAUGAUAUGUUAAUCGCUUCGAAGAGCCAAAAUGAGAUAGAUAAGCUGAAGGCUCAGUUGAAUCAAGAGUUCGAGAUGAAAGAUCUAGGUGAGGCCAAGAAGAUUCUCGGCAUGGAGAUAAGUAGAGAUAGACCGAGAGGCAAGCUCUGUUUAAAUCAGAAGCAAUAUCUGAAAAAGGUAUUACAAUGUUUUGGUGUAAAUGAAAACACAAAACAUGUAAGUACCCCACUUGCUUCUCAUUUGAAACUUAGUGCUCAAUUAUCUCCGAAAACUGAAGAAGAAAGAGAAUAUAUGGCGAAAGUCCCAUAUGCUAAUGCAAUUGGGAGUUUGAUGUAUGCGAUGGUGUGUACGAGGCCUGACAUUUCACAAGCUGUUGGAGUUGUGAGCAGGUAUAUGCAUGAUCCUGGAAAAGGACAUUGGCAAGCUGUGAAAUGGAUUCUACGGUAUCUUCGAAAAACCGUAGAUGUUGGUUUAAUUUUUGAACAGGAUGAAGCACUUGGUCAGUUUGUAGUUGGAUAUGUUGAUUCCGACUUUGCUGGUGAUUUAGAUAAACGUCGUUCAACUACGGGGUAUCUGUUUACUCUUGCGAAAGCCCCAGUGAGUUGGAAGUCUACCUUACAGUCUACAGUAGCUGUGUCUACUACAGAGGCAGAAUAUAUGGCAGUUACAGAAGCUGUUAAGGAGGCUAUUUGGCUUAAUGGAUUGUUGAAAGACUUAGGAGUUGUUCAAAGUCACAUAAGUUUAUAUUGUGACAGUCAGAGCGCUAUUCAUUUAGCGAAAAAUCAAGUCUAUCAUUCAAGAACCAAGCAUAUCGACGUAAGAUAUCACUUUGUGCGGGAAGUCUUUGAAAAAGGAAAAAUUCUACUUCAGAAGAUUCCGACAGCAGAUAAUCCCGCAGAUAUGAUGACCAAGGUGGUAACAACAAUCAAGUUUAAUCAUUGUUUGAACUUGAUUAACAUCCUGAGAAUUUGAGCACCUUCAGGUGUAUGGCGCUCGAGAGUGCAUUUGUAGGCACUACAAAAGAUAGCUUUAUCGAAUUUGGGGAGUUGAAGGAAGUGUGUGAAGAUGUGAUUAUCCUAAUCAAAUCUUCAAGGUGGAGAUUGUUAACAUUAAUGGGAGACAACAUUAAUGGCAAACAAUACAAAGUGGUGCAAGUUUAGCACCCUAAAGUUGACUUUGAAAAAGUGGCAUGGGAUAAUUUUUUUUUUGGUCCUUGAGAUAAUGGGCUAUUUAUUGUUUGGUCCUUAAACCUCAACUAUAAAUAGGCCUUCUCAUUUCUCAUUUCAAUUCAUCCCAACCAAUCUUUCUCUCUUAGUUUUCUCUCUUCUCCCAUUUGAGAAUUCUUAAGGAAUUCUAUUUGUUUGUAAUACUUUGGAGAUAGUAAAGUUAUCAUCUGGUGUUAGUGCCCGAGGACGUAGGUAUAAUUUACCGAACCACGUUAAAUCUCUUGUGUUCUUUCUUGUCCUAUUUUUCUUUCAAUAUUUGAGGGUAUAAUAGUAGUAUUUAAUUGUGCUAUUAAAUUACUAUAGAAGGGAUAUUCUGUCUAAGGAAAGACUUGGUAUUUAAGAGAUCCAUGUGAUCCACCUCUCUUCCCUGGGAAUUGAACUUUGUGUGAUUUUUUAAUACAAUAAUUUACACACUUCCGACCCUAUUGGAACAACAAGUAAUUCACAUGCUUUUUUUUUCCUUUUUUCUUCAUUGGGUUUGAUAGUUUAGCUCAUAAGGAAAUGGGGGAAAUCACCUUGAAAUUUAUCAUCUAUUUUCCUUUCUGAUGUUCAUAUUAACCCUCAGUUGCUGAUUACUAUUUUCUAUGGUUCAGGCAAAACCCAAAUCACUGAGUGCAACUGUGGUGACCAUGGUUGAUGAGGCAGUCAGUGCAGUCGGUGAGGAUUUGGCGGCCAUGAAAAAGCAAGGACUGCAUGCAAGAAAUUUCUUUACACAAACUGGAAUGAGUGGAGCUGAGAAAAUGAGAUGUUAUUUGAGUGCAUUAGUUAUAUUAGCUCUCCUCAUUUUUUUCAUUUUCAACCUCAACCACCAAUAUUAAAGCACUGGAAUAUGCAGGACCGGUUCAGUUCUAUACCCCACCCCCCUAAAUUUUGUUUUAAGUUUAUGUUUGGGUAAAGGAUGAAAGAUCUUUUUAUUAACAUUGGUUUCUCUCUUUAUAAUAAUCAUAAUAGCCAGGGAACUUGUUCCCUUGUUAUUCAUUAGAUGUCCUGAUAAUUUAUCUUCUUGUUCUAGCUUGAGAAAUUAUAUAUAUUUGCGUACUGUAACCAAACCAUCAUUCGAAUAUCUAAAAUAUUUUUGUGUUUGUCAAUGUUUUCCUACGAAUAUAUUCCUUUUUUUUUAAAUUUUAAUAAUUCAAAUUGUAAGUGUAAUUAUAAGCAUAAUCUAGUAUUAAAUAAUAAGAUAUUUUUAUCUAUAAAUUUGAUAGUUUAAAAUUUAUAAAUUAUAACAAAAGUGUAUUUCAAUAUAAAUAUAAAAUGCAAUUUAAUAUUUAUUAAAUACUAUCUAUUCUAGUAUUUUAUAUAGUUUUAAAAUAAUAAUUUAAAUAUUUUUUAUAAUUGAAUUUAUGUGCUAUUUGUUAAACUAAAAAAUUAAGUGUUGUAAAUUUAAGUAUUAUAGUUAAGUUAUAAAAUAUGUUCGGUAUACUACUUAAAAUUAAGCAUUAAAAAUUUAAGUAAUAAACUUAAGUUAUAAAGUAUGUUUUGGUGUGUUCUACAUUAAGUGAUAAGUUGUUUCUUAGCUACCUAUUACCUUGUUCUUUAACCUAUUACUCUUCAUAUGGAUUCUUAUUUGUUAUGUUGAGAAGUUUUCGAAGUAUUAUCCAUUGCAUAGUUGGUCAGACCCCAACAAUGAUUGACAUUUUUCCAUGUGGGAUCCCCAUACUUAGUGUGAAUUGUGGAUUUAAUAUUUCUGCUUUAAUUUGAUCAAUUUGAGCCCCUGUAUUUUUUAAUUUAAAAUUUUUUAAUUCUGACUCAAUAAUCACAAUUAAAUUUGUUUGAUUAAAUUAUGUUAUUAGUCCUAUAUUAUGUGUACAGUUAUAGAUUUAGUGGUUAUAUUUUUUGAAUUUCAACAUUUUACUCUUAAUGCAAAUGACAGUCGUUAAAUCUAUUACCUAACUUUUUGUGAGUAAUACGUGAAAAAAACAAAUAUAGAAUUAUACAAGUGAUAAUAUGUUUGACACAUCAAAUUUUAAAAAUAACAGAACUUAAGUUAAUGAAUUUAAUAGUUAUCAUUUGGUUAGGACAAAAUUUUAAGUUCUAAAAGUAUAGGUAAUGAACAUGAUCAAAUCAAAGUAAAGGUACUAAAACCUAUUGGUAAGAAUUCUCUUUCAUUCAUUCUGUCUUUCUUUAUUUUAUGGCCUUAUUCUAUCUAUGUAUAAAAUAUGAGGCCAAUAUUAUUAAGACCAUUAUUACGCUUACAGAUCAAAGUGAAAUAUAGUAUUUAAUUCUUUUUCUUUCCUUUAAUGCCUAUUGGUGUUCCAAAAGUUCCUUUUCGAAAUCCGGGAGAGGAAGAUGCAGUUUGGGUUGACGUAUAGUGCGACUUGUCAAAUAUAUUGGGUCAUAUGGGAUUCCCCCGUUCUCUCGCCCGAUCGAGAUAUCCUCUGUUUCGCCCAAAAAAGAUUAAUUGAAUUAUCAAAAAUUUGUAGCGUGAAGUACGCAAAGUAUAAGGUCUAAUAACAGAAUUUGACCAUAUUUUCUUAAAUAAUAUCGAGCAAUCACGUAAAUUGAUCAAUAUCAAUACAAAAAGGAAAGAAAUGCUGUUACAUGUUCUUAAUUGUUUCUUGAACCUUUUUAUUACCUUUCAUUGAGCAAAAAGAAACAAUUUCUUCGCUUUCUUCUUUGUUUCUUUUAUCUGUAAAUUUUACCACCAUAUUUUGGCUCGUAUCAGUUUUUAAGCUUAUCUAAGAAGGGUUGAAUCAGAUUUCAGAUAUAACAUAACUUCCCAUUAGUAGCUUCUCUACUUCUCUUCUCUUUCUUUUCAGCCUAACAGAUAGGAUUCUCCAAGUCCAUCUUGUUUUCGAGUUUAGGUAAAAUUUUCAUUUAUCUUUUUUUUUUUUAUAGAUUGCUCUCCAACAAACGCAGCAGACUGCGCUUUGAUUUAUUGCCAACUUAUCCCAGCAGCAGCAGCAGCCCAUGUCUCAGAAUGAAUCAGAGCUUACUCAGUUGCAGCCCCACCAUCAUCAAGAAAAGCAAGAGACAUCAUCAAGUAAGUUUUUGAAUCUUUGCUGCUCUUUGAUUUGUUUCUUCGUUGUUUUCUCAUACUGUGUUAUUGUAACUAGUGCCGUGAAUUCUUUUUCCCGGUAUAGUCACCACCCACUAUACAAUUUUCUUUUAGUCGAUGUUGUUGCUUUGCGUUUCAUUUCUACUAUAGGAAGUAAUUUUCUUUCCAACUUGAGGAGAUUACGAGAAUCUCUUCUUCAACUUGGCUCUGCUCAAAGAUACUCCUCUUCCAUAAGUUAUUUAUAUCGAUGUUCUUUUAGACCUGCAACAUAAUGAUGUAUCUUUGUGCAUAACCGGUUUUCAUUCAUCUAAAUUAUGUUUUCCUUGUUCUUCUUGCUCCAAAAAGUUUCAUUUUUCUUAUGUGUGCAUUGUUUAUGUUAUGUUCUUUUAGCAUCUUCUACAGAUUCCACAGCUCGAACAGGACAUGAAAAUGGGGGUGAUUGGCAAGAAGAGGUCUACCAAAAAGUACAAACUAUCUUCACACGUUCUCCUAUUCAUAAUAUUAUGCUUUCAACUUGGUUUAAGAUGAUUUUGAGUAGGAAAGGGUACUGAGAGAAUAUUAGGGUAUGGUAUGAUCUGUUUAUGUUGAGAUGAGUCUCUUUACAGGAACUAUAAAACGGAAGAGUUAACUCAAAAGGCAAUUUGGAAAGGAAUUUCAGGCAUCUUCUGAUUGAUUUAUUAUUUUGUUAUUAUGAACUUGAAUUUUCUGAGAAGAAAGAAAAUAAAGCUUACUUAAGCCCUUCAGUUUCUUCUGUUAUUAACUAAAGUCAGUGCCAGUUUGUCAGAAAAUGGAAAAAUCUUUUUACUUUUUUCUAAUAAGCCAUGAUUCUAGAUGAAUUGAGUGGUUAGGAUGUCGGCUAACCAUUCUGUUCCCGAUUUCAUGUUGCAGAUCAGGGCCAUGAAAGAGACAUACUUCUCUGAAUUAUAUGAGAUACAACAGAAAAUUGCAGCCAAGUUGCUGCAGGUAGAGGUAGGUAUCCUUUCACGUAAUCAACCUUCAAAGAGUAAUCGAAUCCAACUGCAUGAACCCCUGCCUCCCUGUAUCUCUAAAUUGAAUAUGGAGAGGACUUCACUACACUUCAGGAAGCUUUCAGUCCCAUACCGCUUUUUAAUUGCUACUUGAAGCCCUUUCCUUUUGGCACUGUUUACUGGUUGCACUUUAUGCUUAUCUGAUGUAAUAGUGGUUUGUUAUUCUACUUGCAUCAGUUAAAACAAUUCUACGCAUUCUAUUUUCCAGCAUGAUUCUCUUCCACAGCAGCCAAAGUCAGCGCGGCUUGAGAAGUUGAAAAUAUUCAAGACCAUGUUGGAGCGCAUUCUGUCUUUCUUAACAAUUUCCAAAGCUGCUAAAGUACCGGCUUACAAGGACAAGUUGAGUUCGUAUGAGAAGCAGAUAAGAAAAUUUAUAAAUGCAAAUAGGCUAAGGAAGUCUGUCUCAGCUUUGCAGCAAGGACAGCUUCCUCCACCUCAUAUGCAUUCCUCGCAGCAGCCUCGACCUCAAAUUAAUCAAUCAGAGUUUCGUGAUAAUCAAAUGAACCCUCAGUUGCGGUCAAUAAAUUUACAAGGUUCUAUGCCAGCAAUGCAGCCGAACAACCUGACAAGCUCGUUGCAUAUUCCAUUGUCUUCUUUGUCUGGGGUUUCAACAGAACAGCAGACCAUGUUAAAUUCGCUGCAACCAGGUUCCAAUUUGGAUUCUGGACAGGAUAAGGCUGCAUAAAUAUAUAAAUAAAUAUUUGGGAAAACGAAGUUGGAACCAAGAAAAACGACUGAAUCGAAGUGAAGAACUUCGCUUAGGUUAUUGUGGUUGACUUAUAUAAUUGGUCCGUUCGGUCUGUUUGAAGUACUGUAGUUUGCAAAAGUUUAGUUAAUAACAAAUUUUACUCAAUAGAAACAAAUACAAGAAAAAGUCAUAAUUAACAAAUUUUUAUUUUGUUAAAUGAAUUUAAGAUAAGUUUGAUAAUUUAAAAAAAAUUAGUAGUAAAUUUUAUAACCAUUAAAUUUAUGUUAUAAAUAUAUUUUGUAUAGAUUAAAUAUAAUUAUUUUGUUUGGUAAUAUUUUUUAUUUUAAUCUUAUUACUAUAAUUUUAUUUAUUUUAUUUUGAAUAGUUUUAAUAAAAUUAAAGAUAAAAUCAAUUUUUUUUUUUGAUUUCUCAAUGUAUCUAUCUCACUUAACUCUCGCGAUUUAAAAUUAAAAUAUUUUAAAAAUUAAUAAAAUGAGGAAAUAAUUUGAAUAGUUGUGAAAUAAUUUAAAUACGAUAUUGUUUAUUUAUAUAUUUGUUUUAUAAUUCAUAUUUUGUUUGAGGUUUGUUUUAAUCCUUUUAACAAUGUCAUCAUUAAUGUUUAAAUUUGUGUUUUUUUAUUGGAAGUGCAAUGUUCUUUACUACUGUUAUCUAUACUUGUUCUAAUACUGCAUGUGCUACUCGGAGCUUUUGUUCUAAUAGUAAAUCGUAAAAAUUAAACUUUAAAUUUCAUUCUAAUACAAAUUUCAAUUAAUAAGGGACAUAUGAGUGUCUAUCAAUUGAUUUUACUGAUAUAAUUAAUGAGUAUUUAUAUUUAAGAUUUGUUUAAAUUUAUUAUUUAAUAUUUAUAAAAAAUAUAUACAUAUAUCAAAUAUUUUUUAUAGAUUACAAAAAAUUUGAAAUGAUUUAUUGAAAUAAAUCGAUAUCCAUGCAUAUUAGUAUUGAUAGAAAACUAGUGUAUCCCUUGAUUAUUUGGAUUUCGAUGCAGUAAUAAUAACAAUAAUAAUAUUAAUAAUAAGACAAUUAAAACAAGGGCGAUAAACAUAGAGACGGUUGUGUUUAUAUAAAAGAUAAUUCAUCAACUUUGGUCUGUUCUCUCUCUUUUAAUUUCCCUUUUCUUAUGCUUUCUUUACAACCAAACAUACUUCCUCGAAGUUUCGAUCAAAAAAAAAAAAAAACAUACUUCCUUAAGGAAUUCCAUAUUUGCAAAAUACAUCCUUCAAGAAUUCUCGAAGCCCAUCUCUGUUUCGGAAUUGGGAAAUACAUUCUUCUGGAAUUCUUGAAGCCGAUCACUGUUUCUAAUUAGGGCCUCCUUCUCGAGGUAAAAAUUUCAAAAAAAAGUUAUAGAUUUUAGGGUUCUGCUGCUUGAAUAUCCUCAGAAAUUUUACUUGCGAUUAGGUCUUUACUUUCAAGAAUGAAAGAUUUUAUUUUAUUUUUUGAAUAUCAUUGUUUCACCAGUAACAUUGCAUUUACAUAUAUAGUUUCUGCUGUGAAAAAAAAGUAUAAAGCUUGAUUGAAUAUUUUGAUACUCGAUAACGGAAGCAAGCCUCAAAGCAAGUACUUACAUAUAUACAUUUUUUUUCUUUUUUUCUUUUUUGUAAUUAAUAAUUUACGCUAAAAUUCUACUUAAAGGGGCUGAUUUCUUCGGGAAAUUGUCAAAAAAAAAAAUUAGCUGCAAGAGUUUCAGUUGCUUUUUUUGGUUAGAGGGCUCAAAUUUUUUAUAACGAUGAGUCUAGGUAGCUUUCUCGGAAGCCAACAAACAAUUUAAUUCUUUACUGAAUAGCUAUUACUUGAAUAUAAGCAUUGCUUGCCAGUGAUAUGCGCUGGGCUAGUGGGGCAAACAGAGAGAAAGAAAAUGGAAUCUUAAAAAGAUCACCUUGUGUUAGUAUUAAUCAACGAAAUUGAUGUUCGGUUGUAAAGUUUUGGUUUACAUCGGGAAAGAUCAUGUUCAACUUCAAUCAUGGUCGUAGGGUUUCUAUGAGUGUCUAAUAACUUGCCGUCAUUUUGUUAGAACUAAAAUGUUGCUGCAAAUGAUGAAAACUGUCCCCCUUGUGUUACAACAUUACAGUACAUUCUGCUCUUAUGUAUGGAUUUAUUCUUUUUGGUUUCUUUGGGGGGAAAUAAGGAGAAAUUUUAACGAAGUCUGUGUUUUCCCGAGGCUCUUACCAGUAGUAGAAACUUAGGAUGGGGAGGGAAGUAUUACUGAAAAGAACUUUGCCAAACGUUUUUCAUAUUUGAGAAGUAAUUUAUUUCAAAUUGACUACUUCCAAUUUAUGACUAGGGAAAUUCAGAUUGGAUAUGUUUGUGACUGUUGUUUUCUCUUUUCAGAAUUUCAUGGAUACGAAUAACUGGAGGCCUACUCCUCCUAGUGGAGAGCCCAACAUGGACAGUGGUGAUUGGAGAACCACUUUGCAGCCUGACUCACGACAAAGAAUUGUCAACAAGAUGUAAGUCAAUUUUAUGGUAUAAUUCUCCGUUAAAUAUACUUGUUAAGUUGCUGAAAUCCUGUGGGUCGUUGUAUGCUGUGAGAAACAAUAGCAUCAAUAACAGUAUGUUUCUUAUUAAAAUGGACCUGUUUUGUUUAGUAGUGCUUCAGAAUCAAAGCUUGCUUUACCCAUAGUUUGGGGUCACACUAUGUUAGCCACGUAAAUUUAGCUUAAUGUAGCUAAGCUAUUUUGUCCAGGUCCAACUCUAUCUGCUACACUUGGUAUCAUUAUUUAAUCAACUAUGUGAUUGAAUAAAGAUGCAUUCUUCUUUUAGAUCUUUGUAUCCUUGCAAGAUUUGGUGGUUCUUUUAUUAAAUAACUUAUUGCUAUAAGGUACACUAAUGACCUUGUCUUUCUACAACAUUCUCUGAACUAUGGUAAUUUUGAUGUUAUGUGGUCUAUUUGAAUGUAUUUGGUAUAUGAAGGCCAUGAGGACUACUUUGUUUAUAUUGGAAAGGUUUUGUUAAGUUCAGGUGCUACGGUUUCGGAAUUAAAUGAAGGAUGUCCUGAACAAGUUAAAGAGGAAAAUCUUAUGUUGACCCCGAUAGCUCGCAUUCUUAGCAUUUAUUAUAUACCAAUUGAAGAUUCCUACAUAUAUCAUAUUUCUUUGUCAAUAACUUAAACAAUGUUUUGUGCACAUAGAAUGGAUACAUUGAAGAGGCAUCUUCCAUUUUCUGGGCAAGAGGGUUUAAGUGAACUCAGGAAAAUUGCUGUGAGGUUCGAGGAAAAGAUUUUUACAGCUGCAAGCAGUCAGGUAAUCAUCGAAUGUUAGCAUUCCAUAAUGUGCUUGGCUGCAUUUUUCUUUACCAAUAUUUAGGUGUGUUUGCACUGUGUCUUCGUGUUUGUGUUAUCUGUUUUUUCUUAUUCAUAUGCAUGGAAGAAAUCUGGGAAGGAAAGAGAGAGGAGAGGAAAAAACUAAAGAUGCUAAAUGCUACUCAAUAUCAAGCAUGAUUAAUUUAAAUAUUUGAGAAUCUUGUAUUAGAAUAAUAAAGAAACUUGUUUAACACUGCUAUGGAUUUCCAUAUUCAGACUGAUUAUCUGAGAAGAAUAUCUUUGAAGAUGCUUACAAUGGAGACCAAGUCUCAGAAUACCAUGCCCAACACUGGGAAUAACAGCAAACCACCUGAUCCAGGUAAUAGCAAGAAAGAGAAAUUGCUUUGAUGUACUAUAGUAGUAGGGUACUUUCCCUUCGCAUGUCCUUUCUAUUCUUCUACAUGCAGAGUCAUUUAAUGUUUAACAUGUAUGGACAUUUGCUCUAGUUAGUAAUUUAGUGAACAUUUUCUAUUUUUGUACCCCAUUUGUCCCCAUAAUGGUAGCGUAUUAACACUUAAACUAGUUGGGUAUUGUUCAAGUGCCCUCACCUGUUUUUGGUCUAGUUAUCUUUUUGAAUGUAUUAAUUAUUAAUUUGGUUUUUGUUAUCUUGUUUUAAAUGCUCUUCAAUUCUUUUCUUCUGGUUCUUCCCCUACUCUUUUUGAACCAAAAAUAUCGGUGGUAGGUUCUCAGGGCAUGCAGAACCAAGUUCACAGUCAAGGACAAUCAAUUCCUAUACCAUUACAAAGUAAUCAGUCUCAAGCACGUCAACAACUGUUACCCCAGAGUGUUCCGAAUAACAUGGCAUCUGCUGGAGUUCAGAGUUCUGCUGGUUUACAACCUGGAAUGCCUCCUGUAUCUGGUCUAUCUCAGAAUCCUAUAUCUAAUGUUGUUGGACAGAAUUCCAACAUCCAGAACAUGUCUGGAAUUUCGCAGAACUCAAUGGGGCAAGGAAUGCCUUCCAAUAUUUUUGCUAAUCAGCAGAGGCAAAUGCAAGGAAGGCAGCAGGUGCUUCCUCAACAGCAGCAGCAGCAGCAGCAGCAACAGCUAUAUCAUCAGCAGCUGCAACAAACACUUAUGAAGCAAAAGAUUCAACAGGGGAAUCUUCAGCCUUCACUCCUGCAGUCUCACAUGCAGCAACAGCAGCAGCAAAACCUACUACCACCUACUCAGUUGCAAUCAUCCCAGCAAUCUGGUAUGCAAACAUCAUCCAUUAUGCAGCCAUCAGCCAUGCAAUCAACUCUUCCUGGUCUUCAACAGAAUCAGCAAUCUUCUCUCCAACAGUCGACACAGUCCAUGCUUCAGCAGCAUCAACAGUCAGUUCUUAGACAGCAGCAACAGCCACAACAGACCACCAGUGCUGGUAUUCAUCAACAACAAACACCAAUGACACAGCAGUCAAUGAUGCCUCAGCAACAGCAGCACAUGAUGGGGCAACAGGCAAAUGCUGCAAAUAUACCACAGAAUCAGUUAAUUGGACAACAAAACAGUAUUGCAGACAUGCAGCAGCAGAGACUGCUAGGCCAGUCUAGUAAUCUGCAGCAACAACAGCAGCAGCAGCAGUUAAUGGCUCAACAAAACAACCUUUCAAAUAUGCAUCAGCAACAGUUGGGUCCUCAGAGUAAUAUUUCAGGACUACAGCAACAGCAGCAGCAAUUGGUUGGAACCCAGUCGGGUAACUCAAGCAUGCAAACUAAUCAACAAUCUUUACACAUGCUAUCCCAGCCCAAGGUUGCACUCCAACAAACGCAGCAGACUGCACCUAAUUUACUGCCUACUCAAGGACAGACAUCCCAGCAGCCACAACAGCAGCAGCAACUGAUGUCUCAGAUGCAAUCACAGCCUACUCAGUUGCAGCAACAGUUGGGUUUGCAACAGCAGCCCAAUCAAGUGCAACAAAAUAUGCAGCAGAGACUUCAAGCAUCAGGUCAAACAUCAAGUUCCUUGCUUCAAUCACAAAAUUUGAUAGAUCAGCAAAAGCAGUUGUAUCAAUCACAGAGAGCUGUUCCGGAGACAUCAUCAAGUAUGUUUUUGAAUUUUUGCAGUUACAUACUGUUGCUCUUUGCCUUAUUUCUUUGUUGCUUUCUGAUAUUGUGUUAUUUAACUGAUCUUUAAAUAUUUCCUCAGAUAGCCCUGAAUUCUCUUUCCUCUUAUACACCAACUACACAAUUUUCAUAGUUGAUGCUUUAGUUUUGCAUUACAUUUCUACUAUAGAAAGUAAUUUCCUUUCCUACUUGAGGAUAUUAAGAGAAUAUCUUCUUAAACUUGGCUCUGCUAUCACAUCAGAAGCACAUUGUGCCUAGAUAAUUAAUCUGUAGCUCGGAAAACAGAUGCUAGGAAAAUUACCGGCACCCUUGCCUUCAUUAGCUGAUCAUAGACACUGCCUGGCUUUUGAUGCCAUGAGAAACAUUGUUGUCGCCCUUAUCAUUGUGAGGUCUUAACUGCUGUGACCUUGCUAUCAUGUCACUGUUAAUGCUUUGCGGCAGUAAUUGUGCAACAGUUUUGUUAAACCAUGAAGGAACUACUGGGUUAAUCUAUUCACUUUGACAAACAGUUCUUUCUCCUUCAUUCAGUGAGUUGUCCUAUUGAAUGUAGAACUUUUUUCAGGAAAGAGUUAAACUAUUUACUGUGUAAAGGAAAGAAGUGGUCAUGUUUUGUUGGUUAAUUUUAAAAAGAAGAAAAUUUUGCAGUGAGUUAUUGAGCUCAACUAAACAUGUCCACGGCUUCAACUUCAUUUCAAAUUUAGAAUAGUCUGAAAUUUCUAGCAGUUUGUUUGAUUAUGUCAGGUUGGUUCCACUCAAUUCCUCUGUCCAACGUUUGUAUCUUUGUACUUCCUAGUAAUCUAACUUUCAAGAUAUUCCCAACAUGGAGCUCAACAUGAAAUAUAUGAUUAGGAGAUUGUAGUCCUUGAAAUCCGCUUGUUACUGUUUUUGCAUCAAACUAGAGGGUAAACAUGCUUGCAAAUGUUAGGAGUUUUGUUUGGAGAAGGAUGCACAAAGAAUGUCCAGAUAAGCAAGUGAUUACAGCGAGGCAUUUCUUUCCUGCAUGAAAUGGUCUAAAGGGUGUCAAAACUCAAUUGUUUUAGUGGUGUCUUGGCUCAGUUUCACUGCUUACGCUGAGACAUGAUAUUGUGCUGUAGAUUUAGUUAAGUUUUAUAUCUGAACUGUACAUCCCUUGUGUCUAACUUGUUCCACAAAUCAUUUUAAUGCUUUAGUCUGAUUCACCCUUAUUAGCUUACCAGAUUUAGCUUUCAGUGGUUUAAUAGGUCAAUAGCAGAAAUUAUUUAACUUAUUUUAGGUCUUCCUUCUCACUUAAACUUACCAAUCAUUUAUUUAUAUUCCAACUGAACUUAGAUGUAGGUGGCAAAUAGUUAGCUUUAAACUUGAGAAAAUCUAUAACUAGCCUUGAUAGUUAAGAAUGAUGUUUGAACUCUGACUUGAUCUUUUAUGUAUCACAAUGGAAACUUUACAGAAUUGCUGCUUUAGUAGAGUAGACAUAGGUCUUGGAAUAUCCCAAAAGGAAAAGGCAUUUGAAUGGGAUUGCAGGGAGCAUGCUUUUUAAUGCAUAACCUAAAAAACUUGGAUAUGCAUGGUUAGUUGCAGAAACUAGCAAUAAAACCUUUUCAUAUAUUCAAGUCCAAAAUGUUUAAUGGUUUCUUCAAAUGCUUUGCUGUUGUACCCGUGGUGUGUCUGAUGGAAUCUUAUGACUUAAGAAUUCAUUAUUGACUGCAUUAUGAUCCCUGCGUCUCCCCUUCUAUGCUAUGUGCACCUUAAUUUUCUUUGAGAAUUGGUCAUAUUCUGCUCAAAUUUAUCCCUCUUCCACAAGGUAUUUAUUUCAAUGUUCUUUUAGACAUGCAACAAAAUCAUGUAUUUUUUUGUAUAACCAAUUUUCUUCCAUUUAAAUUAUGAUUUUGUAAUUCUUCUUGCUCCAAAAAUUUUCAUUAUUCUUUAUGUAUCUUCUUUUAGCAUCUUUAGAUUCCACAGCUCAAACAGGACAUUCUAAUGGGGGUGAUUGGCAAGAAGAGGUCUAUCAAAAGGUAAAAACUAUCUUGGCCCAUUCUCCUACAGAUAAUAAUUAUGCUUACAACUUGGUUUAAGAAUGUAAAACCCCUGAACCCUGAGUAUGUUGUGAUGUGUCUCUUUACAGGAACUAUGAAACGGAAGAAUUAGAACUUAAAAAGUAAUUGGGGAAAUGAAAUUCAGAUAUUUUCUGAUUGACUUAUUUGGUUAUAAGGACUUGAAUGUUCUUAGAGGAAAGAAAAUAAAGCUUAUAUAUACUUUUUAGUUUCAUUUGAAAGAUCCAUUAAGAUGUGUUAGCAAGAAACCUAAGGCCCAAGGACUACUACAAAGAUUUUGCAUGCUUGAUUUCAAAGUAAUCAUCAUUUGUUAUUACCUUUGUUUCUUCUGUGUUUAACUAAAAUCAGUACCGACUUAUCAGAAAAUGGAAAAAUAUUUUUACUUUUCUAAUAAACCAUGAUUCUAGAUGAAUUGAAUGGUUUAGUUGUUGGCUAACCAUCCUGUUCCUGAUUUAAUGUUGCAGAUCAAGGCCAUGAAAGAGACAUACUUCUCUGAAUUAAAUGAGAUGCACCAGAAAAUUGCUGCCAAGUUGCUGCAGGUAGGUUUAUCCUUUCACAUAGUACACCUUCAAAGAGUAGUAGAACCCAUCUGCAUGAACCUCUGCCACCCUGUAUCUCUAAAUUGAAUAUGAAGAGGACUUCACUACACUUCAGGACGCUUUUGAUCCCAUACCGCUUUUUAAUUGCUACUUGAAUCCCUUUCCUUUAGGCACAGUUUACUGGUUGCACUUUAUGCUUAUCUGAUGUAAUAGUGGUUUGUUAUUCUACUUGCUUCAGUUAAAACAAUUCUUCUAUUUUCCAGCAUGAUUCUCUUCCACAGCAGCCAAAGUCGGAGCAGCUUGAGAAGUUGAAAAUAUUCAAGACCAUGUUGGAGCGCAUUCUACAUUUCUUAACUGUUUCCAAAGCUAAUAUAGUACCGGCUUUCAAGGACAAGUUGAGUUCGUAUGAGAAGCAGAUAAUAAACUUUAUAAAUACCAAUAGGCCAAGGAAGCCUGUCUCAGCUCUGCAGCAAGGACAGCUUCCUCCACCUCAUAUGCAUUCCAUGCAGCAGCCCCAACCUCAAAGUAAUCAAACGCAAUCUCAUGAUAAUCAAAUGAAUCCUCAGUUGCAGUCAAUAAAUUUACAAGGUUCUAUGCCAACAAUGCAGCCUAACAACAUGACAAGCUUGCAGCAUAAUACCUUGUCUUCUUUACCUGGGGUUUC